GUGGGGAAUAUUGGACAAUGGGCGAAAGCCUGAUCCAGCCAUGCCGCGUGUGUGAAGAAGGUCUUCGGAUUGUAAAGCACUUUAAGAUGGGAGGAAGGGCAGUAAGUUAAUACCUUGCUGUUUUGACGUUACCGACAGAAUAAGCACCGGCUAACUUCGUGCCAGCAGCCGCGGUAAUACGAAGGGUGCAAGCGUUAAUCGGAAUUACUGGGCGUAAAGCGCGCGUAGGUGGUUUUGUAAGUUGGAGGUGAAAUCCCCGGGCUCAACCUGGGAACUGCCUCAAAAACUGCAUGGCUAGAGUACGGUAGAGGGUAGUGGAAUUUCCUGUGUAGCGGUGAAAUGCGUAGAUAUAGGAAGGAACACCAGUGGCGAAGGCGACUACCUGGACUGAUACUGACACUGAGGUGCGAAAGCGUGGGGAGCAAACAGGAUUAGAUACCCUAGUAGUCC
Molecule: ribosomal RNA, 450 nt
Filed under: uncultured bacterium
Lineage: Bacteria
Description: partial 16S ribosomal RNA
Rfam family: Bacterial small subunit ribosomal RNA
Source: RNAcentral